Molecule: ribosomal RNA, 429 nt
Filed under: Bacillota bacterium
Lineage: Bacteria; Bacillati; Bacillota
Description: Firmicutes bacterium partial 16S ribosomal RNA
Rfam family: Bacterial small subunit ribosomal RNA
Source: RNAcentral
UAGGGAAUCUUCGGCAAUGGACGGAAGUCUGACCGAGCAACGACGCGUGAGUGAAGAAGGUUUUCGGAUCGUAAAGCUCUGUUGUUAGAGAAGAACGUUGGUAGGAGUGGAAAAUCUACCAAGUGACGGUAACUAACCAGAAAGGGACGGCUAACUACGUGCCAGCAGCCGCGGUAAUACGUAGGUCCCGAGCGUUGUCCGGAUUUAUUGGGCGUAAAGCGAGCGCAGGCGGUUCUUUAAGUCUGAAGUUAAAGGCAGUGGCUUAACCAUUGUACGCUUUGGAAACUGGAGGACGUGAGUGCAGAAGGGGAGAGUGGAAUUCCAUGUGUAGCGGUGAAAGGCGUAGAUAUAUGGAUGAACACCGGUGGCGAAAGCGGCUCUCUGGUCGGUAACUUACGCUGAGGCUCGAAAGCGUGGGGAGCAAACAGG